AUUGAACGCUGGCGGCAUGCCUUACACAUGCAAGUCGAACGGCAGCACGGGAGCUUGCUCCUGGUGGCGAGUGGCGAACGGGUGAGUAAUACAUCGGAACGUACCCUGAAGUGGGGGAUAACGUAGCGAAAGUUACGCUAAUACCGCAUAUUCUGUGAGCAGGAAAGAGGGGGAUCGCAAGACCUCUUGCUUUAGGAGCGGCCGAUGUCGGAUUAGCUAGUUGGUGAGGUAAAGGCUCACCAAGGCGACGAUCCGUAGCGGGUCUGAGGAGA
This 272-nucleotide ribosomal RNA is filed under the name uncultured bacterium. RNAcentral describes it as "partial 16S ribosomal RNA". It matches the Rfam family "Bacterial small subunit ribosomal RNA", at positions 30 to 300 of the family's 1533-position model. The record is from RNAcentral.